UACGUAGGGUGCGAGCGUUAAUCGGAAUUACUGGGCGUAAAGGGUGCGCAGGCGGUUCUGCAAGUCAGGCGUGAAAGCCCCGGGCUUAACCUGGGAAUGGCGCUUGAAACUACAGGACUGGAGUAUGGCAGAGGGAGGUGGAAUUCCACGUGUAGCGGUGAAAUGCGUAGAGAUGUGGAGGAACGCCGAUGGCGGAGGCAGCCUCCUGGGCCAAUACUGACGCUCAUGCACGAAAGCGUGGGGAGCAAACAGG
RNAcentral lists this ribosomal RNA (253 nucleotides) under uncultured bacterium. RNAcentral describes it as "partial 16S ribosomal RNA". It matches the Rfam family "Bacterial small subunit ribosomal RNA", at positions 524 to 776 of the family's 1533-position model. The record is from RNAcentral.